GGGUUGUGAGGUUAAGCGACUAAGCGUACACGGUGGAUGCCCUGGCAGUCAGAGGCGAUGAAGGACGUGCUAAUCUGCGAUAAGCGUCGGUAAGGUGAUAUGAACCGUUAUAACCGGCGAUUUCCGAAUGGGGAAACCCAGUGUGAUUCGUCACACUAUCAUUAACUGAAUCCAUAGGUUAAUGAGGCGAACCGGGGGAACUGAAACAUCUAAGUACCCCGAGGAAAAGAAAUCGACCGAGAUUCCCCCAGUAGCGGCGAGCGAACGGGGAGCAGCCCAGAGCCUGAAUCAGUGUGUGUGUUAGUGGAAGCGUCUGGAAAGGCGCGCGAUACAGGGUGACAGCCCCGUACACAAAAAUGCACAUAUUGUGAGCUCGAUGAGUAGGGCGGGACACGUGGUAUCCUGUCUGAAUAUGGGGGG
This 420-nucleotide ribosomal RNA is filed under the name Shigella sonnei. Its description in RNAcentral is "partial 23S ribosomal RNA". It matches the Rfam family "Bacterial large subunit ribosomal RNA", at positions 1 to 451 of the family's 2925-position model. The record is from RNAcentral. Lineage: Bacteria; Pseudomonadati; Pseudomonadota; Gammaproteobacteria; Enterobacterales; Enterobacteriaceae.